Molecule: non-coding RNA, 31 nt
Filed under: Homo sapiens (human)
Lineage: Eukaryota; Metazoa; Chordata; Mammalia; Primates; Hominidae
Source: RNAcentral
UGGAAUUGGAUAGAGAUGGUGAAUUUCAGCC